CCUACGGGAGACUGCAGUGGGGAAUAUUGCACAAUGGGGGAAACCCUGAUGCAGCGACGCCGCGUGAGUGAAGAAGUAUUUCGGUAUGUAAAGCUCUAUCAGCAGGGAAGAAACCCACCCUCCGGGUUGGCUGACGGUACCUGACUAAGAAGCCCCGGCUAACUACGUGCCAGCAGCCGCGGUAAUACGUAGGGGGCAAGCGUUAUCCGGAUUUACUGGGUGUAAAGGGAGCGUAGGUGGCAAGGCAAGGCAGAUGUGAAAACCCGGGGCCCAACCCCGGGAGUGCAUUUGAAACUGUCUGGCUAGAGUGCAGGAGAGGUAAGUGGAAUUCCUAGUGUAGCGGUGAAAUGCAUAGAUAUUAGGAGGAACACCAGUGGCGAAGGCGGCUUACUGGACCGUAACUGACACUGAGGCUCGAAAGCGUGGGGAGCAAACAGGAUUAGAUACCCGAGUAGUC
RNAcentral lists this ribosomal RNA (457 nucleotides) under uncultured bacterium. Its description in RNAcentral is "partial 16S ribosomal RNA". It matches the Rfam family "Bacterial small subunit ribosomal RNA", at positions 338 to 795 of the family's 1533-position model. The record is from RNAcentral.